This 168-nucleotide small RNA is filed under the name Enterococcus cecorum. RNAcentral describes it as "Listeria sRNA rli28". It matches the Rfam family "Listeria sRNA rli28", at positions 25 to 180 of the family's 186-position model. The record is from RNAcentral. Lineage: Bacteria; Bacillati; Bacillota; Bacilli; Lactobacillales; Enterococcaceae.
UAAGGUUAGUGAAGUUAAAGACGGUUAGUAAUUCUCAUUUCUGGGGGUGGUGCUUAUGAGUGUAAUAACUCUACAACGCAUUCUAAAGAAAGGAAAUUGUGCAGUGUCUGUUUAUGAAGCACUAAGUUUAAUGAUUGCUUUUGUGACGUUAAUCGUGCUAGUGAACAA